AAAGACCAGGAGCCUUUGACUACGCCCUGGCAAUGGUAAGUACAGAGGUGUUAUAUACACAUAUACAUAUAUAACAGGAAGACCAGGUGCUCGAUGCUACGCCCUGGCACAGAGUUACUGGGACUAUGUGGUGACAGGUUUACUCUUGAUGUGGUUUAUCUAUGUUAUGACGCAUUCCAUCAGAUCAUAUUUUAAUGAAUUGUUUUACUGUUCUACUCACUGGGCUAUAGAGCUCAUCCCACUCCCUUAACCCCAGUCUUGCAGGUUCAGUAUACAGUGUACAGGGAAGGUUCAGCAAGUGCAGAGUGCCAAAAGAGUAAAGAGUAAAGAGAAUUGUACUAGUGUAAAGUGGACAUGUAAUAUAAAGAGAUGUACUAGUUGUGUUUUUAGUUAUAGAUGUGC
RNAcentral lists this long non-coding RNA (402 nucleotides) under Manihot esculenta (cassava). Its description in RNAcentral is "long non-coding RNA (MESC_LNC011754)". The record is from RNAcentral. Lineage: Eukaryota; Viridiplantae; Streptophyta; Magnoliopsida; Malpighiales; Euphorbiaceae.